Molecule: ribosomal RNA, 502 nt
Filed under: uncultured bacterium
Lineage: Bacteria
Description: bacterial SSU rRNA
Rfam family: Bacterial small subunit ribosomal RNA
Source: RNAcentral
GACGAACGCUGGCGGCGUGGCCUAACACAUGCAAGUCGAGCGGACUUAUGCAAAGCACUAAUAGCUCACAAACGAUGAGAUAUUAGUGCUUUGCAGAAAGUUAGCGGCGGACGGGUGAGUAACGCGUGAGUAACCUGCCUUUCAGCGGGGAAUAACGUUCCGAAAGGAACGCUAAUACCGCAUAACGUAUAUCUGCGGCAUCGUAGAUAUACCAAAGAUUUAUCACUGAAGAUGGACUCGCGUCUGAUUAGCUAGUUGGUAGGGUAACGGCCUACCAAGGCGACGAUCAGUAGCCGAACUGAGAGGUUGAUCGGCCACAUUGGGACUGAGACACGGCCCAGACUCCUACGGGAGGCAGCAGUGGGGAAGUAUUGCGCAAUGGGGGAAACCCGUGACGCAGCAACGCCGCGUGAAGGAAGAAGGUCUCGGAUCGUAAACUUUUGUCUUUGGGGUACGAGUAAUGACGGUACCCCAAGGAGGAAGCCACGGCUAACUACGUGCC